GGGAAUAUUGGACAAUGGGCGCAAGCCUCAUCCAGCCAUGCCGCGUCAGUGAUGAAGGCCUUAGGGUUGUACAGCUCUUUCACCGGAGAAGAUAAUGACGGUAUCCGGAGAAGAAGCCCCGGCUACCUUCGUGCCAGCAGCCGCGGUAAUACGAAGGGGGCUAGCGUUGUUCGGAAUUACUGGGCGUACAGCGCACGUAGGCGGAUAUUUAAGUCAGGGGUGAAAUCCCAGAGCUCAACUCUGGAACUGCCUUUGAUACUGGGUAUCUUG
This 270-nucleotide ribosomal RNA is filed under the name uncultured Rhizobium sp. Its description in RNAcentral is "partial 16S ribosomal RNA". It matches the Rfam family "Bacterial small subunit ribosomal RNA", at positions 357 to 644 of the family's 1533-position model. Lineage: Bacteria; Pseudomonadati; Pseudomonadota; Alphaproteobacteria; Hyphomicrobiales; Rhizobiaceae. The record is from RNAcentral.